This 274-nucleotide ribosomal RNA is filed under the name uncultured bacterium. RNAcentral describes it as "partial 16S ribosomal RNA". It matches the Rfam family "Archaeal small subunit ribosomal RNA", at positions 473 to 747 of the family's 1478-position model. The record is from RNAcentral.
AAACCAGCACCUCAAGUGGUCAGGAGGAUUAUUGGGCCUAAAGCAUCCGUAGCCUGAUCUGUAAGUUUUCGGUUAAAUCUGUACGCUUAACGUACAGGCUGCCGGAAAUACUGCAGAUCUAGGGAGUGGGAGAGGUAGACGGUACUCGGGAGGAAGUGGUAAAAUGCUUUGAUCUCUCGAUGACCACCUGUGGCGAAGGCGGUCUACCAGAACACGUCCGACGGUGAGGGAUGAAAGCUGGGGGAGCAAACCGGAUUAGAAACCCCAGUAGUCC